This 440-nucleotide ribosomal RNA is filed under the name uncultured bacterium. Its description in RNAcentral is "partial 16S ribosomal RNA". It matches the Rfam family "Bacterial small subunit ribosomal RNA", at positions 338 to 795 of the family's 1533-position model. The record is from RNAcentral.
CCUACGGGAGGCAGCAGUGGGGAAUAUUGCACAAUGGGGGAAACCCUGAUGCAGCGACGCCGCGUGAGUGAAGAAGUAAUUCGUUAUGUAAAGCCCUAUCAGCAGGGAAGAAAAUGACGGUACCUGAGUAAGAAGCCCCGGCUAACUACGUGCCAGCAGCCGCGGUAAUACGUAGGGGGCAAGCGUUAUCCGGAUUUACUGGGUGUAAAGGGAGCGUAGACGGCAGUGCAGGUCUGGAGUGAAAGGCGGGGGCUUAACCCCCGGACUGCUCUGGAAACUGGACGGCUGGAGUGCAGGAGAGGUAAGUGGAAUUCGUGGUGUAGCGGUGAAAUGCGUAGAUAUUAGGAGGAACACCAGUGGCGAAGGCGGCUUACUGGACUGUAACUGACGCUGAGGCUCGAAAGCGUGGGGAGCGAACAGGAUUAGAUACCCCUGUAGUC